Molecule: signal recognition particle RNA, 98 nt
Filed under: Clostridia bacterium
Lineage: Bacteria; Bacillati; Bacillota; Clostridia
Description: signal recognition particle sRNA small type
Rfam family: Bacterial small signal recognition particle RNA
About the family: The signal recognition particle (SRP) is a universally conserved ribonucleoprotein involved in the co-translational targeting of proteins to membranes. Archaeal SRP consists of a 7S RNA and homologues of the eukaryotic SRP19 and SRP54 proteins.
Source: RNAcentral
GGGCGGGUCCUAUACGGCGGAAAGCUGUGAACCAUGUCAGGCGGGGAACCGAGCAGCAUUAAGCAGUUUUUUCUGUGCGAAUAGUCAAUCGGUCCAUU